Caenorhabditis elegans is the source of this 21-nucleotide non-coding RNA. The record is from Ensembl. Lineage: Eukaryota; Metazoa; Nematoda; Chromadorea; Rhabditida; Rhabditidae.
UGUUCAUCUCGUAUUUAUUCA